Gorilla gorilla gorilla (western lowland gorilla) is the source of this 1061-nucleotide long non-coding RNA. RefSeq lists it as uncharacterized. The record is from RefSeq and is a predicted model, not a curated record. The transcript is spliced from 2 exons. NCBI's taxonomy places the organism in Eukaryota, Metazoa, Chordata, Mammalia, Primates, Hominidae.
AGCUCAGAACCGCUGCGUUAACCCAGCCCCGGAAAUAACGUACCGAUCUUCGGAGUCCAAGUCGGAAGUUGACUAGAGAGUCACCUGCUUUCGUCCGCUCUAGGACACCAGACACACCAGGCCGCCAUGUUGUGUAAGCUUCUUAUGAAGAUUCCCAGUAUAAAUGCAACAGCUGGAGUUACCUACAAAUAUACAAACUGAAAGAAAAGAAAUAUUAUGGUUGGCUAUUUGGGAGUCUCCUGAAAUGAAAACAUACCUGGACAGUUAGCAUGAUCAGAGAGCAUCUAAAUCAAUCAAGGAAGAACAGAGGGAAUUGAACUUGCCACAACUGCUGCUUUAAGAAAAAAAAAAAAAAAGGUACUUUGCUGGGAAUGGUGGCUCGUGCCUGUAAUCCCAGCUACUUGGGAGACUGGAGUGGGAGGAUUGCUUGAGGCCAGGUGUUCAAGACCAGCCUGGGCAACACGGCAAGACUCAGUCUCAUUUAAAACAAAAAAGAAGGUACUUUGAUAGGUGCAACAUAUUUCUCAUACCUUGUAUCUAUCCAUUGGGUCUUCCUGUUGCAGCUGACUCUCUCGCAUUGUCUGAUAUUCUUUCUCAUAUUUCUUCAACUUCUUGGUUGGCACCUGUAGGGAUUUGAGGAAAACCAUGUUAGACAAGGACACCAUUUAUGAAAAAAAAUUCAGGUGUGUUUGCUAGUUAAAUUUCUGGCAUUCUAAGGGAACAUGCUCAACUCAAAGUUAGGAGAAAAACAGAGAUUCCAGAGGAGGGGUUGGCAAACUUUUCCUGUAAAGGUCCAGACAGUAUAUAUUUUAGGCCUUGUGGGCCAUAUAGUCUAAGUUGCAAAGAUUCAACUCUGUCAUUAUUAUACAAAACCUGCCAUGGGUGAUACCUAAACAAAUGAGCCUGGCUGUGUUCCAAGAAAACUUAAUUUACAGAAACAGGCUACAGUUUGUCCACCUCUGUUAUAAAUAAUAUUGCUGAUGUCACAACCUUCUCUUGUUAAUGUAUUUAAUAGUGCUAUUAAUUUUAACUUUCUUAAAUAUAAUUCACUCAUAUCCUUC